UCGCUGUGAUGAUGGAUUCCAAAAUCAUUCGUAGUUUCCACCAGAAAUACUGUGUUAGCCUGGCUAGUUCCUUCCUUGGAUGUCUGAGUGA
Small nucleolar RNA from Dipodomys ordii (Ord's kangaroo rat), 91 nucleotides. Its record names the gene SNORD14. It matches the Rfam family "Small nucleolar RNA SNORD14". Rfam says of the family: U14 small nucleolar RNA (U14 snoRNA) is required for early cleavages of eukaryotic precursor rRNAs. The record is from Ensembl. NCBI's taxonomy places the organism in Eukaryota, Metazoa, Chordata, Mammalia, Rodentia, Heteromyidae.